UCCCCUAGUAACUGCGAGUGAAGCGGGAAAAGCUCAAAUUUAAAAUCUGGUGGCCUUUGGUCAUCCGAGUUGUAAUUUAGAGAAGCGUCUUCCGCGCUGGACCGUGCACAAGUCUCCUGGAAUGGAGCGUCGUAGAGGGUGAGAAUCCCGUCUUUGGCACGGACUCCCAGUGCUUCUGUGAUGCGCUCUCGAAGAGUCGAGUUGUUUGGGAAUGCAGCUCAAAAUGGGUGGUGAACUCCAUCUAAAGCUAAAUAUUGGCGAGAGACCGAUAGCGAACAAGUACCGUGAGGGAAAGAUGAAAAGCACUUUGGAAAGAGAGUGAAACAGUACGUGAAAUUGUUGAAAGGGAAACGCUUGAAGUCAGUCGCGUCGUCCGAGACUCAGCCUCGCCUCGGCUUGGUGUACUUCUCGGCCGACGGGUCAGCAUCAAUUUUGCCCCUUGGAUAAUGGCGAGGGAAAUGUGACACCUUUGCGGGUGUGUUAUAGUCUCUAGUCGCAUGCAAGGGUCGGGAUUGAGGAACUCAGCACGCGCCUUCGGGCGUCGGGGUUCGCCCACGAUACGUGCUUAGGAUGUUGGCGUAAUGGCUUUAAACGACCCGUCUUGAAACACGGACCAAGGAGUCUAACAUGCCCGCGAGUGUUCGGGUGGAAAACCCGUGCGCGCAAUGAAAGUGAAAGUUGGGACCUCUGUCGUGGAGGGCACCAACGCCCGGACCAGACCUUCUGUGACG
RNAcentral lists this ribosomal RNA (731 nucleotides) under Russula sp. RNAcentral describes it as "partial large subunit ribosomal RNA". It matches the Rfam family "Eukaryotic large subunit ribosomal RNA", at positions 76 to 786 of the family's 3401-position model. Lineage: Eukaryota; Fungi; Basidiomycota; Agaricomycetes; Russulales; Russulaceae. The record is from RNAcentral.